GAGAAUGCUCAGGAGAAUGGAGGAUUACAUCUGUAUUUUUACAUGGGAUUCAUUGGUGACAGACUAAGGAGGUGGGAUAAAGCAAAGCAGGGAAACCUCUGGGAUAGG
Pipistrellus kuhlii (Kuhl's pipistrelle) is the source of this 108-nucleotide long non-coding RNA. RefSeq lists it as uncharacterized. The record is from RefSeq and is a predicted model, not a curated record. NCBI's taxonomy places the organism in Eukaryota, Metazoa, Chordata, Mammalia, Chiroptera, Vespertilionidae. The transcript has 2 exons.